This is a long non-coding RNA of Mauremys mutica (yellowpond turtle), 185 nucleotides long. RefSeq lists it as uncharacterized. NCBI's taxonomy places the organism in Eukaryota, Metazoa, Chordata, Testudines, Geoemydidae. The record is from RefSeq and is a predicted model, not a curated record. The transcript is spliced from 3 exons.
GGGCAUGCGCAGAUCUUGGUGGGCGAGACGUUCCUUAGCUGCAGCCUCCAGGCUACAGAUUGUCCUUGUUUUUCCCCAAAUCAUCCCGUCUUCCCAACAGGAAGGUAACAUCCCGUCCUCCCAACAGGAAGGAAACAGCUGCAAUGGAGCUGGCUCAGGGGCUGGUGACCUUCGAGGAGGUGGCU